RNAcentral lists this transfer RNA (72 nucleotides) under Loxodonta africana (African savanna elephant). It matches the Rfam family "tRNA". Rfam says of the family: Transfer RNA (tRNA) molecules are approximately 80 nucleotides in length. Their secondary structure includes four short double-helical elements and three loops (D, anti-codon, and T loops). Lineage: Eukaryota; Metazoa; Chordata; Mammalia; Proboscidea; Elephantidae. The record is from Rfam by way of RNAcentral.
GCCCCUGUGGUGCAAUGGUUACAUGUUUAGCUGCUAACUGCAAGGUCAGUAGUUUGAACCCACUCAGUGGCU